Molecule: long non-coding RNA, 526 nt
Filed under: Ananas comosus (pineapple)
Lineage: Eukaryota; Viridiplantae; Streptophyta; Magnoliopsida; Poales; Bromeliaceae
Description: long non-coding RNA (ACOM_LNC035236)
Source: RNAcentral
CACUAUGCUCGCUGGGCGAAUCAAUUAUAUGCUUUCUUACCCAAAUGCCAUGACGAGUUUUCUUGAAGCCAAGUGUGGAGAAAGUAGCUGUAGAAAUGGCGGUGGGGUACUUCAUCGGCCUCACGUCGGAAAGAUCAAAUGACAUGAACUCGAGGACGGCGGUGAGCAAAGAGCCAUAUGGAAGUGAUCGCGAGGGAUGAGAAGCGGCGACGGCCAUGUGGCGAAUGAUGAUAUACCCCAAAUUAACCCGGAUUCCCGCAAAUAGAUGAUAAAGUAGAAAAAGAUCCAUUUGUUGAACAGUGGUGUGGUGACCGUCUCGAGGAAGAAUUACUUUAGUAAGUAAAAAGUGGGUGAGGCGGUGAGGAAAGGAAAGAUGAGAGCAAUCUUCUCGUGAAGUAGAAUCUUCACAAAGAAAAUGAUUGCGGAGUUGCGUCUCAGAAAAUGCAAGAAAGUGCCAAGUGUUGGUUUAGUAGUAGUAAACGCCGUCAUUUGGAAUGUUUAAAACUGUGUAAAGACGGACAGGAGU